GCGUUUGCAUGUCUAGUUACAGUUGACAAAAUGGCUGGAACCCUAAGCAGUGUUCAUUUUCAUGCUAUUCCGGAUGUAAUUCUUUCCAAUAUAUUUUCCUUGAUCACUGAUAUUCGUACCCGUAAUUCCAUGUCCCUUGUUUGCGUCAAGUGGCACUUGAUAGAGCGAUCCACUCGCACCUCUCUCACUCUGAGAGGCAAUAUCCGUGACCUCUUUCUCCUCCCAACUUGCUUUCGAGCUGUCACUGAUCUUGACCUCUCUUUCCUCUCCCCUUGGGGCCACCCGAUUUUUGAUUUCUCUUCCAACCCUAAACUUCUUGCUCAGCUUAUCCGUAGGGCUUUUCCCUCUGUUGCUUCUCUCACUGUUUAUGCCAGGAAUCCUUCAACUCUUCAACUUCUUGC
This 401-nucleotide unclassified non-coding RNA is filed under the name Hevea brasiliensis (rubber tree). Lineage: Eukaryota; Viridiplantae; Streptophyta; Magnoliopsida; Malpighiales; Euphorbiaceae. The record is from RNAcentral.